ACAUCGGGAUUGUAAAAACCGCCGCGGCAAUUUCAGCUCCAAUAGCGUAUAUUAAAGUUACCGGUUGCAGUUAAAAAGCUCGUAGUUGACAGUUUGAUCUCGGACGCUGGGUCAUGCUUCUAUUGCAUGUACUUGGCGGACCGAGACUUCCUUCCUGGUUAACGGCCGCCUUCGGGUGACCCGGAACCAGGACCAUUACUUUGAAAAAAUUAGACGUGUUCACAAGCUGGCCCUAUGUCCGGAUAUAUUAGCAUGGAAUAACAGAAUCGGACGUGCGGUUCUAUUUUGUUGGUUUCUAGAACUGCCGUAAUGAUUAAAAGGGACAGCCGGGGGCAUAACUCUUUGCACGCCAGAGGUGAAAUUCCGGGAUUGUGCACAGACUUGCUACACUGACAGAUUUGACAACGAAUGUUUCCCCUUGUCAAGAACGAAAGCUAGGGUAUCGAAAACGUUGUAGAAACUUUGUCGUGCUGGGGAUGGAGCUUUGCUAAUUUCACUUGCUCGAUCAACGAGGAAUCUCCUGAGUAAGGUCGCAAGUCAUCAGCUUAAAGAAAUUGACUGAACGUCCCUGCCCUUUGUACACACCUAGCCCAGUC
This 596-nucleotide ribosomal RNA is filed under the name uncultured organism. RNAcentral's name for it is "SSU rRNA". It matches the Rfam family "Eukaryotic small subunit ribosomal RNA", at positions 555 to 1677 of the family's 1831-position model. The record is from RNAcentral.